GUCCUGGCAGUAAACGCUGUGUGCAAGGUGUUGCAUCUACAAUAGGUAGGUGCAGUAUCGCAGCGAAGGCAUUAAGCACACCACCUGGGAAGUACGGUCGCAAGACUGAAACUUAAAGGAAUUGGCGGGGAGCACUACAACGGGUGCGGCGUGCGGUUUAAUCCUAUUCAACACGGAGAAUCUCACCAGAAGCGACGGCAGGAUGAAGGUCAGGCUAAAGACCUUACUUGACGAGCCGAGAGGUAGUGCAUGGCCGUCGU
This 260-nucleotide ribosomal RNA is filed under the name uncultured bacterium. Its description in RNAcentral is "partial 16S ribosomal RNA". It matches the Rfam family "Archaeal small subunit ribosomal RNA", at positions 744 to 1004 of the family's 1478-position model. The record is from RNAcentral.